UACGUAGGGGGCGAGCGUUGUCCGGAAUUAUUGGGCGUAAAGAGCGUGUAGGCGGUUCGGUAAGUCUGCCGUGAAAACCUGGGGCUCAACCCCGGGCGUGCGGUGGAUACUGCCGGGCUAGAGGGUGGUAGAGGCGAGUGGAAUUCCUGGUGUAGCGGUGAAAUGCGCAGAUAUCAGGAGGAACACCGGUGGCGAAGGCGCUGCUCUGGGCCGGUACUGACGCUGAGGAGCGAAAGCGUGGGUAGCAAACAGG
RNAcentral lists this ribosomal RNA (253 nucleotides) under uncultured bacterium. Its description in RNAcentral is "partial 16S ribosomal RNA". It matches the Rfam family "Bacterial small subunit ribosomal RNA", at positions 524 to 776 of the family's 1533-position model. The record is from RNAcentral.